RNAcentral lists this ribosomal RNA (253 nucleotides) under uncultured bacterium. RNAcentral's name for it is "partial 16S ribosomal RNA". It matches the Rfam family "Bacterial small subunit ribosomal RNA", at positions 524 to 776 of the family's 1533-position model. The record is from RNAcentral.
UACGUAGGGGGCAAGCGUUGUCCGGAUUCAUUGGGCGUAAAGAGCGUGUAGGCGGCCAGGUAGGUCGGUUGUGAAAACUGGAGGCUCAACCUUCAGAGGUCGACCGAAACCAUCUGGCUAGAGUCCGGGAGAGGCGCGUGGAAUUGCAGGUGUAGCGGUGAAAUGCGUAGAUAUCUGCAGGAACACCCGUGGCGAAAGCGGCGCGCUGGACCACUACUGACGCUGAGGAACGAAAGCUAGGGGAGCAAACAGG